Molecule: ribosomal RNA, 231 nt
Filed under: uncultured bacterium
Lineage: Bacteria
Description: partial 16S ribosomal RNA
Rfam family: Bacterial small subunit ribosomal RNA
Source: RNAcentral
UGAGCAACCUGCCCCUGGCUCUGGGAUAACCCCGGGAAACCGGAGCUAAUACCGGAUACGAGACCGAUUGGCAUCUUUACGGUCUGGAAAGUUUUUCGGCCAGGGAUGGGCUCGCGGCCUAUCAGCUUGUUGGUGGGGUAACGGCCCACCAAGGCGACGACGGGUAGCCGCCUGAGAGGGUGACCGGCCACACUGGGACUGAGACACGGCCCAGACUCCGUACGGGAGGCA